UUGAGCGAUUUACUUCGGUAAGAGCGGCGGACGGGUGAGUAACGCGUGGGUAACCUACCCUGUACACACGGAUAACAUACCGAAAGGUAUGCUAAUACGGGAUAAUAUAUUUGAGAGGCAUCUCUUGAAUAUCAAAGGUGGGCCAGUACAGGAUGGACCCGCGUCUGAUUAGCUAGUUGGUAAGGUAACGGCUUACCAAGGCGACGAUCAGUAGCCGACCUGAGAGGGUGAUCGGCCACAUUGGAACUGAGACACGGUCCAAACUCCUACGGGAGGCAGCAGUGGGGAAUAUUGCACAAUGGGCGAAAGCCUGAUGCAGCAACGCCUCGUGAGUGAUGAAGGCCUUCGGGUCGUAAAACUCUGUCCUCAAGGAAGAUAAUGACGGUACUUGAGGAGGAAGCCCCGGCUAACUACGUGCCAGCAGCCGCGGUAAUACGUAGGGGGCUAGCGUUAUCCGGAUUUACUGGGCGUAAAGGGUGCGUAGGCGGUCUUUCAAGUCAGGAGUGAAAGGCUACGGCUCAACCGUAGUAAGCUCUUGAAACUGGGAGACUUGAGUGCAGGAGAGGAGAGUGGAAUUCCUAGUGUAGCGGUGAAAUGC
This 598-nucleotide ribosomal RNA is filed under the name uncultured bacterium. RNAcentral's name for it is "bacterial SSU rRNA". It matches the Rfam family "Bacterial small subunit ribosomal RNA", at positions 62 to 689 of the family's 1533-position model. The record is from RNAcentral.